UACGGAGGGUGCAAGCGUUAUCCGGAUUUACUGGGUUUAAAGGGUGCGUAGGCGGGCUUUUAAGUCAGCGGUGAAAGCUUCGGGCUUAACUCGAAAAUUGCCGUUGAUACUAUUAGUCUUGAAUUAAGUUGAGGUGGGCGGAAUAUGUCAUGUAGCGGUGAAAUGCUUAGAUAUGACAUAGAACACCAAUUGCGAAGGCAGCUCACUACACAAAGAUUGACACUGAGGCACGAAAGCGUGGGGAUCAAACAGG
RNAcentral lists this ribosomal RNA (253 nucleotides) under uncultured bacterium. RNAcentral's name for it is "partial 16S ribosomal RNA". It matches the Rfam family "Bacterial small subunit ribosomal RNA", at positions 524 to 776 of the family's 1533-position model. The record is from RNAcentral.